This is a long non-coding RNA of Alexandromys fortis (reed vole), 971 nucleotides long. RefSeq lists it as uncharacterized. The transcript is spliced from 2 exons. The record is from RefSeq and is a predicted model, not a curated record. Lineage: Eukaryota; Metazoa; Chordata; Mammalia; Rodentia; Cricetidae.
AUGGCUCGUGCUCAUUAUUUUUUAAAGUAUAAAUGAACUUGGAGGGGAUUUUUAUUUUUUGAGUGUAGUGACUCAUUCUCUCCACCAGGGUUCAGUCAGGCGUAGCUUUUUCAUCCAUGUAAUGGGAGAGGUACAGUUUGUUGACCUUUUUUCUAAUUGCAAAGCUGCUUUUAAUACUUUGAGGUGUGCCCCCAGGAAUAAAAAACGGGGAAAGGGUAACGUCACCUCCAGGAGUGGCCCAGGAGGAGAUAGAUACCUGAGGGGACGGAAGCAUGAAAGAGACCCCCUGCAGACUCGGUGAAAGGAAAGCCCGGACGUUUUCUUCCCUCUGCUUUGGCUCUGCGACCUCCAAGUCGCUCUGCCUGUCCAUCAUCAGCUCGCUUUCCCUUAACCAGGUCCCUCUGUUCCUUCUUGUUCAUGGCGAGCUCACACUUGGUUACCACGGUCCUGGCAGGUCCUGGCAAUCGCUCCUUCUGCUUUGUUGACUUUCAAUUCUAGGAGCAAAAAAUGGUGAGGGAAAUCCUGCCCUGUUUUGCUAAUGCUUUGGAUUUGGGUAGUGAUGAGAGAAUUGUUUCCCAACUGGGUCCCUUCCUUGCCCUCCCUCCCCUUUUUUCUUUCCUUUCUUCCCAUCCUCUCUGUUUUAUCAAGACCUCUGGGCUGUACCCCUAGCCUUUUUUACAUAUGUUUUGUUUGUUUGUUUCUUUUAAUUUGGAGACAAUGUUAUUCCUUGGAAACUACAGCUCCCAGACUUCUCCUGGAUUACCAUCACCUGUGUGCGUGCUGGCCACGCCCAGGUGAAGGCCAUUCCUCCCAGAUAACCUUGCGCCCCCCGUUAAAAGCGAAGGUCCACGAGGUUUCCCUCCUCUUGGCCCCCCUCUUGGCCCUUUUCCCCCCUACCCUUGUGUGUCGCACGUCCCACCCCUUACUGUGUUCCCCUCUCCCCAUUAAAACACACCCACGUGGGAGCCGCG